This 404-nucleotide ribosomal RNA is filed under the name uncultured bacterium. RNAcentral's name for it is "bacterial SSU rRNA". It matches the Rfam family "Bacterial small subunit ribosomal RNA", at positions 29 to 419 of the family's 1533-position model. The record is from RNAcentral.
AACGAACGCUGGCGGCGUGCCUAACACAUGCAAGUCGAACGCGAAAAGGGGUAACCCUGAGUAGAGUGGCGCACGGGUGAGUAACACGUAGGUGACCUUCCGAAUAGUGGGGGAUAACUCGGAGAAAUCCGGGCUAAUACCGCAUAUGUACGACAAAUCUGAGAGUAGUCGUAGAAAGAAUGCCUCUACUUGUAAGCAUUCGCUAAUCGAUGGGCCUGCGGAGCAUUAGCUAGUUGGUGGGGUAAUGGCCUACCAAGGCUACGAUGCUUAACGGAUCUGAGAGGAUGAUCCGUCACACUGGAACUGAGACACGGUCCAGACUCCUACGGGAGGCAGCAGUGGGGAAUAUUGGACAAUGGGGGCAACCCUGAUCCAGCCAUUCCGCGUGAGUGAAGAAGGCCUUC